UUUCCGUAGGUGAACCUGCGGAAGGAUCAUUACCGAGUGAGGGGCUUAGGCCCCGACUCCCACCCUUUGCUCCCCCACCUUGUUGCUUUGGCGGGCCCGCGGGCCCGACCGCCCGCCGCCGGCUUCGGCUGACGCGCGCCCGCCGGAGGACCAUGAAACCCGACCCUGUCACGGUAGUCUGAGCGAAGUUUAAAUGAAGCAAAACUUUCAACAACGGAUCUCUUGGCUCUGGCAUCGAUGAAGAACGCAGC
RNAcentral lists this unclassified non-coding RNA (251 nucleotides) under uncultured fungus. RNAcentral describes it as "sequence contains ITS1, 5.8S rRNA gene". The stretch from base 203 to 251 matches the Rfam family "5.8S ribosomal RNA", at positions 1 to 49 of the family's 154-position model. The record is from RNAcentral. Lineage: Eukaryota; Fungi.